GAAAGCCCUACGGGGCGAGCGGGGAUGGGCAUGCGGCGCAUUAGGAAGACGGCGGUGUGACGGACCACCGUUCCGACGAUGCGUAGGGGUUCUGAGAGGAAGGCCCCCCACACUGGUACUGAGACACGGACCAGACUCCUACGGGAGGCAGCAGUGAGGAAUAUUGGUCAAUGGCCGGAAGGCUGAACCAGCCAAGCCGCGUGAGGGAGGAAGGCGCAGAGCGUCGCAGACCUCUUUUGCCGGGGGACAAAAGGCCGGACGGGUCCGGUCCUGAGGGUACCCGGAGAAAAAGCAUCGGCUAACUCCGUGCCAGCAGCCGCGGUAAUACGGAGGAUGCGAGCGUUAUCCGGAUUCAUUGGGUUUAAAGGGUGCGCAGGCGGGCCUUUAAGCCGGCGGUGAAAUCGCGGGGCUCAACCCCGCCGAGCCGUCGGAACUGGGGGCCUUGAGUGCGGCGGAGGCAUGCGGAAUGCGCGGUGUAGCGGUGAAAUGCAUAGAUAUCGCGCAGAACCCCGAUUGCGAAGGCAGCGUGCCAUGCCGCCACUGACGCUGAGGCACGAAAGCGCGGGGAUCGAACAGGAUUAGAUACCCUGGUAGUCCGCGCCGUAAACGAUGGAUGCUGGGUGUCCGGGGCGUUCAGGCCCUGG
RNAcentral lists this ribosomal RNA (644 nucleotides) under uncultured bacterium. Its description in RNAcentral is "bacterial SSU rRNA". It matches the Rfam family "Bacterial small subunit ribosomal RNA", at positions 202 to 842 of the family's 1533-position model. The record is from RNAcentral.